RNAcentral lists this ribosomal RNA (1338 nucleotides) under metagenome. Its description in RNAcentral is "bacterial LSU rRNA". It matches the Rfam family "Bacterial large subunit ribosomal RNA", at positions 1564 to 2910 of the family's 2925-position model. The record is from RNAcentral.
UGAGUGCGAGCUGCUACGGCAGCGAAGUUGGUGACGUCAUGCUUCCAAGAAAAGCCCUACACCCGUUAAGGCAUCAUGGCCUGUACCCGAAACCGACACAGGUGGGGUGGUAGAGAAUACCGAGGGGCGCGAGGUAACUCUCUCUAAGGAACUCGGCAAAAUGGCCCCGUAACUUCGGGAGAAGGGGUGCCACCGCAAGGUGGUCGCAGUGAAGAGGCCCAGGCGACUGUUUACCAAAAACACAGGUCUCCGCUAAGUCGCAAGACGAUGUAUGGGGGCUGACGCCUGCCCAGUGCCGGAAGGUUAAGGAAGCUGGUCAGCGCAAGCGAAGCUGGCGACUGAAGCCCCGGUGAACGGCGGCCGUAACUAUAACGGUCCUAAGGUAGCGAAAUUCCUUGUCGGGUAAGUUCCGACCCGCACGAAAGGCGUAACGAUCUGGGCGCUGUCUCGGAGAGAGGCUCGGCGAAAUAGAAUUGUCUGUGAAGAUGCGGACUACGUGCACCCGGACAGAAAGACCCUAUGAAGCUUUACUGUAGCUUGGUAUUGUGCCCGGGCUCGCAAUGCGCAGGAUAGGUGGGAGGCUUUGAUCAUCGGCUUGCGGGUCGAUGUGAGCCAACGGUGAGAUACCACUCUUUGCGAGCUAGGGUUCUAACGGCCACCCGUCAUCCGGGGGCCGGACAGUACCUGGUGGGCAGUUUGACUGGGGCGGUCGCCUCCUAAAAGGUAACGGAGGCGCGCAAAGGUUUGCUCAGGCUGGUUGGAAAUCAGCCGACGAGUGUAAAAGCAGAAGCAAGCUUGACUGUGAGACCAACAAGUCGAACAGGGAGGAAACUCGGCUUUAGUGAUCCGACGGUUCUGAGUGGAAGGGCCGUCGCUCAACGGAUAAAAGUUACUCUAAGGAUAACAGGCUGAUCUCCCCCAAGAGUUCACAUCGACGGGGAGGUUUGGCACCUCGAUGUCGGCUCAUCGCAACCUGGGGCUGAAGUCGGUCCCAAGGGUUGGGCUGUUCGCCCAUUAAAGCGGUACGCGAGCUGGGUUCAGAACGUCGUGAGACAGUUCGGUCCAUAUCCGGUGCACGCGCAGGAAUAUUGAGAGGAUUUCUCCCUAGUACGAGAGGACCGGGAGGAACGCACCUCUGGUGUACCAGUUAUCGUGCCAACGGUAAACGCUGGGUAGCCAUGUGCGGAGUGGAUAACCGCUGAAAGCAUCUAAGUGGGAAGCCCACCUCAAGAUGAGUAUUCCCAUGGCGUAAGCCAGUAAGGUCACGGGAAGAACACCCGUUGAUAGGCUCUAUGUGGAAGCGCAGUAAUGCGUGAAGCAGAGGAGUACUAAUAGACC